AUACGUAGGGUGCGAGCGUUGUCCGGAAUUACUGGGCGUAAAGAGCUCGUAGGUGGUUUGUCGCGUCGUCUGUGAAAUUCCGGGGCUUAACUCCGGGCGUGCAGGCGAUACGGGCAUAACUUGAGUACUGUAGGGGAGACUGGAAUUCCUGGUGUAGCGGUGAACUGCGCAGAUAUCAGGAGGAACACCGGUGGCGAAGGCGGGUCUCUGGGCAGUAACUGACGCUGAGGAGCGAAAGCAUGGGUAGCGAACAGGAUUAGAUACCCUGGUAGUCCAUGCCGUAAACGGUGGGCGCUAGGUGUAGGGGUCUUCCACGACUUCUGUGCCGUAGCUAACGCAUUAAGCGCCUCGCCUGGGGAGUACGGCCGCAAGGCUAAAACUCAAAUGAAUUGACGGGG
RNAcentral lists this ribosomal RNA (398 nucleotides) under uncultured bacterium. RNAcentral describes it as "partial 16S ribosomal RNA". It matches the Rfam family "Bacterial small subunit ribosomal RNA", at positions 523 to 918 of the family's 1533-position model. The record is from RNAcentral.